Molecule: ribosomal RNA, 429 nt
Filed under: Gemmatimonadota bacterium
Lineage: Bacteria; Pseudomonadati; Gemmatimonadota
Description: Gemmatimonadetes bacterium partial 16S ribosomal RNA
Rfam family: Bacterial small subunit ribosomal RNA
Source: RNAcentral
UAGGGAAUCUUCGGCAAUGGACGAAAGUCUGACCGAGCAACGCCGCGUGAGUGAAGAAGGUCUUCGGAUCGUAAAACUCUGUUGUUAGAGAAGAACAAGGACGUUAGUAACUGAACGUCCCCUGACGGUAUCUAACCAGAAAGCCACGGCUAACUACGUGCCAGCAGCCGCGGUAAUACGGAGGUGGCAAGCGUUGUCCGGAUUUAUUGGGCGUAAAGCGAGCGCAGGCGGUUUCUUAAGUCUGAUGUGAAAGCCCCCGGCUCAACCGGGGAGAGUCAUUGGAAACUGGGAGACUUGAGUGCAGAAGAGGGGAGUGGAAUUCCAUGUGUAGCGGUGAAAUGCGUAGAUAUAUGGAGGAACACCAGUGGCGAAGGCGGCUCUCUGGUCUGUAACUGACGCUGAGGCUCGAAAGCGUGGGGAGCAAACAGG